ACUGUGGAAGCUGAAGAAACGUGCACUUAUAGAUAAAAGAUAAAGUGAAAGAUAAAAAGCUAAAAUGGAUAAUAAAGGAGACUCACCAGAGGCCCCAAGAGAACGAAAGCCCCGAACAUCAAAAUCACAUUACACAUUUACACGCCAAUUAUAGAGGGUUUAAUACAAAUUUAAAUUUGAACACCCGCGGGACAGUUACGGUUUCGAACCCCCAUCGGUUUUAUUUCUGACGGUUAAGCGUGAUUAUUGUUGUUUAUUUAUGUUUCACUAUUAGUGUACUUGCAAACACAAUGUAAGACGGUCGUGAUUUUGAUCCUCGGUGUUCUCGUUCUCUUGGGGCCUCUGCUUCCACAAUAAUGGGAGUACAGUCAUACACGUGUGCACUUUGUUCCUUUACGGCUGGAAUGGAGGAGACUCACCGUCAGUUUCAUUCGAUUUUGAGAGCACCGUGACCUCAUCGCGUUAGAUGUAUUAUAAUUCGACUGAAAAUGGUCUAAAAGUCUAAAGCAAGGACCGAAACGUUUUGGUAACUAAAGAAAAAUUCCUACAAGAUUGUGAUUGCGCUUUAUUUACCGCGUUUUUACUCCCACUUGCCCAGUUUCUUAUUUUAUUAUAUUUAUAUAUAUUUAUUUAUUUGUAAAUUGUGUAUAUAAA
Long non-coding RNA from Formica exsecta, 654 nucleotides. RefSeq lists it as uncharacterized. The transcript has 3 exons. Lineage: Eukaryota; Metazoa; Arthropoda; Insecta; Hymenoptera; Formicidae. The record is from RefSeq and is a predicted model, not a curated record.